This 473-nucleotide ribosomal RNA is filed under the name uncultured Magnetococcus sp. RNAcentral's name for it is "bacterial SSU rRNA". It matches the Rfam family "Bacterial small subunit ribosomal RNA", at positions 79 to 587 of the family's 1533-position model. Lineage: Bacteria; Pseudomonadati; Pseudomonadota; Magnetococcia; Magnetococcales; Magnetococcaceae. The record is from RNAcentral.
UCCGGGACGCCGGCGAGUGGCGAACGGGUGAGUAACACGUGGAGACCUGCCCUGAGGUGGGGGAUAACAGCUAGAAAUGGCUGCUAAUACCGCAUACGCCUUACGAGGGAAAGAUUUAUUGCCUCAGGAGGGUUCCGCGUCGGAUUAGCUUGUUGGUGGGGUAACGGCCUACCAAGGCGAUGAUCCGUAGCUGGUCUUAGAGGAUGAUCAGCCACACUGGGACUGAGACACGGCCCAGACUCCUACGGGAGGCAGCAGUGGGGAAUAUUGCGCAAUGGAGGCAACUCUGACGCAGCGAUGCCGCGUGGGUGAAUAAGGCCUUAGGGUUGUAAAGCCCUUUCAGUGGGAAAGAUGAUGACGGUACCCACAGAAGAAGCCCCGGCUAACUCCGUGCCAGCAGCCGCGGUAAUACGGAGGGGGCGAGCGUUGUUCGGAAUUAUUGGGCGUAAAGAGCGCGUAGGCGGUUUAUUAAG